RNAcentral lists this ribosomal RNA (320 nucleotides) under uncultured fungus. Its description in RNAcentral is "eukaryotic LSU rRNA". The stretch from base 1 to 123 matches the Rfam family "5.8S ribosomal RNA", at positions 30 to 154 of the family's 154-position model. Lineage: Eukaryota; Fungi. The record is from RNAcentral.
GCAUCGAUGAAGAACGCAGCGAAAUGCGAUAAGUAAUGUGAAUUGCAGAAUUAGUGAAUCAUCGAAUCUUUGAACGCACAUUGCACAUCUUGCUCCGCAAGAUGUAUAUCUGUUCGAGCGCCUUUUAUAGAUUAAGGGUUUCCCUUGUGUUGUUUUAUCAAUGAAUGAUUCAACGAAAUUUAUUGGCGUAAACUUUUGCCAUGAUCGCAGCAAAAUGUGAAAGUGGUUUGGAGAAUAUCGCCUUGAGCAUAAUUUUCUAAUCUAGGCCUCGAAUCAGAUAGGGAUACCCGCUGAACUUAAGCAUAUCAAUAAGCGGAGGA